Molecule: ribosomal RNA, 492 nt
Filed under: uncultured bacterium
Lineage: Bacteria
Description: partial 16S ribosomal RNA
Rfam family: Bacterial small subunit ribosomal RNA
Source: RNAcentral
AGUGAACGCUGGCGGUAGGCCUAACACAUGCAAGUCGAACGGCAGCACAGUAAGAGCUUGCUCUUACGGGUGGCGAGUGGCGGACGGGUGAGGAAUACAUCGGAAUCUACUUUUUCGUGGGGGAUAACGUAAGGAAACUUACGCUAAUACCGCAUACGACCUACGGGUGAAAGCAGGGGAUCUUCGGACCUUGCGCGAUUGAGUGAGCCGAUGUCGGAUUAGCUAGUUGGCGGGGUAAAGGCCCACCAAGGCGACGAUCCGUAGCUGGUCUGAGAGGAUGAUCAGCCACACUGGAACUGAGACGCGGUCCAGACUCCUACGGGAGGCGGCAGUGGGGAAUAUUGGACAAUGGGCGCAAGCCUGAUCCAGCCAUACCGCGUGGGUGAAGAAGGCCUUCGGGUUGUAAGGCCCUUUUGUUGGGAAAGAAAAGCAGCAGGUUAAUACCCCGCUGUUCUGACGGUACCCAAAGAAUAAGCACCGGCUAACUUCGUG